RNAcentral lists this ribosomal RNA (427 nucleotides) under uncultured prokaryote. RNAcentral describes it as "bacterial SSU rRNA". It matches the Rfam family "Bacterial small subunit ribosomal RNA", at positions 355 to 796 of the family's 1533-position model. The record is from RNAcentral.
UGGGGAAUUUUCCACAAUGGGCGAAAGCCUGAUGGAGCGACGCCGCGUGGAGGAUGACGCCUUUCGGGGUGUAAACUCCUUUUCUCAGUGACGAAGCAAGUGACGGUAGCUGAGGAAUAAGCACCGGCUAACUACGUGCCAGCAGCCGCGGUAAGACGUAGGGUGCAAGCGUUGUCCGGAGUUACUGGGCGUAAAGGGCGCGUAGGCGGUGCGUCGCGUCGCACGUGAAAGCCCCCGGCUCAACCGGGGAGGGUCGUGCGAUACGGGCGUACUGGUGGCAGCGAGAGGCGAGUGGAAUUCCCGGUGUAGUGGUGAAAUGCGUAGAUAUCGGGAGGAACACCAGAGGCGAAGGCGGCUCGCUGGCGCUGACCUGACGCUGAGGCGCGAAGGCGUGGGGAGCGAACGGGAUUAGAUACCCGUGUAGUCC